GAAAAAUUUCAGUGCCUUUCUGCAACUUUCCAAGAUUAGCAUUUUUUUACUCUGUUCUUUUUUUCCACCAAUUACAAAGUUGUGGGAAAUUCUAUGUGUUGGCUAUGCAGAAUUGUUUUUAGAUUGAAUUGAAUUGAAGAAAAAAGAUGUGUGUUUUUGGGGCAAUGGAUGGGAAGAGAUUUGUUGUAUGCUGUUUGCAUUUGGAGAUUUUGGUGUGGAUGCUUUUAGCUUUUGUUGUACAGCUUUCAGAUGAAGCUAACCCUGGAGAUGUUGCUGCAAUUAAUAACUUAUAUGCUUCUCUGGGAUCGCCAUCCCUUCCGGGCUGGGGUGCUGUUGGUGGAGACCCAUGUAAUGGACUUUGGCAAGGGGUCGAAUGCGAGAAUGGAAGCAUACUGACAAUUCAACUCAAUGCUGCUAACUUGGGAGGUGAACUUGGGGAUAACUUAGGCUCAUUUUCUUCUCUCAGGACACUAGAUCUGAGCAACAACCAUAUUGGCGGAAGCAUUCCGACUAAUCUGCCAGUUACCUUGCUGCAUAUUUUUCUUUCAGCUAAUGCAUUCACUGGAAGUAUUCCUACUUCUUUGUCUUACCUGAGUCGACUUUCAGCUAUGUCUCUGAAUGGCAAUCAUUUGACUGGAGAAAUUCCUGAUUCCUUUGAAGGCCUUACCGCUUUGGUCAAUCUUGAUUUGUCAAGUAACAAUUUAAGUGGAUCAUUGCCACCAUCUGUAGAAAGUUUGUCUUCCUUGACCACUCUAUAUUUGCAGAAUAAUCAGCUUUCUGGAACUCUUGAUGUUUUGCAGGAUCUACCCCUUAAAAAUUUGAAUGUGGAAAACAACUUGUUUUCUGGGCCCAUACCUCAAAAGUUGUUAGCUAUUCCCAAUUUCAAAAAAGAUGGAAAUCUUUUCAACAGUAGUAUUGCUCCUUCAACUCCACCCACAUCAUCAACAGCGCCUCCCAUUUCUGGGUCUCCAACUUCAGCACAGACGCCAUCUUCUCAAAGCAAACCUAAAACACAGACCGAUGGACCAUCAGCAUCUGCAGAAUCAAGUUCAACAGGAAAAAAAAAGUCUUUAUCUGUUAAAAGGGUGAUCUGGAUAUCAAUUGCAGCAGUUUUGUCAUUUAUCAUAUUGGUUUUAGCAAUCCUUCUCUGUCUGCCAAAGUGCCUCAGGAAAUGGCACGAGACUCAAAGGACCCCCAAACACCAUGAAAUAGCCCCUUAUAUCGGUGCUAGAGAGAAUCCUGGAGAUAGUGGUUCAUUAGUCCAACCUGGCCAUGAUAUAGAAAAAGCUCCCCUAGUUGUGCCGCCAAACGAAAAGCAACCAAGAAGACCGGCUCCCGUUCCGAAGCCACAAGAUGAGCAGCAGGUGAAUGUGCAAACCAUGACUGCGGUGCCAAAGAAGGAUGAUAGUGUGAUAAACCUUGGCAGAUUGGAUAUUGAUUUGACCCCACCACCUCCUCCUCCUCCUCCU
Molecule: unclassified non-coding RNA, 1469 nt
Filed under: Hevea brasiliensis (rubber tree)
Lineage: Eukaryota; Viridiplantae; Streptophyta; Magnoliopsida; Malpighiales; Euphorbiaceae
Source: RNAcentral